Molecule: ribosomal RNA, 42 nt
Filed under: Fusarium sp. CBS 130337
Lineage: Eukaryota; Fungi; Ascomycota; Sordariomycetes; Hypocreales; Nectriaceae
Also listed under: 1 other name
Description: partial 18S ribosomal RNA
Source: RNAcentral
GCGUAACAAGGUCUCCGUUGGUGAACCAGCGGAGGGAUCAUU